This 465-nucleotide ribosomal RNA is filed under the name Mitius enatus. RNAcentral's name for it is "SSU rRNA". It matches the Rfam family "Eukaryotic small subunit ribosomal RNA", at positions 1185 to 1658 of the family's 1831-position model. The record is from RNAcentral. Lineage: Eukaryota; Metazoa; Arthropoda; Insecta; Orthoptera; Gryllidae.
CCGGGCUAAUUUGACUCAACACGGGGAACCUCAUCAGGCCAGGACACCGGAAGGAUUGACAGAUUGAGAGCUCUUUCUUGAUUCGGUGGGUGGUGGUGCAUGGCCGUUCUUAGUUCGUGGAGUGAUUUGUCUGCUUAAUUGCGAUAACGAACGAGAUCCUACCCUACUAACUAGUCGAAACCGGCAUCCCCUGUGCAGCCGGCGACCAACACUCUUCUUAGAGGGACAGGCGGCUUCCAGCCGCAGGAAGUGGGGCAAUAACAGGUCUGUAAUGCCCUUAGAUGUUCUGGGCAGCACGCGCGCUACACUGAAGGGAUCAACGUGUGUUUUCCUUGCUCGAGAGGGCCGGGUAACCCGUUGAAACUCCUUCGUGCUAGGGAUUGGGGCUUGCAAUUAUUCCCCACCAACGAGGAAUGCCUAGUAAGCGGGAAUCAUUACUUCCUGCUGAUUAAGUCCCUGCCCCCA